CCUACGGGGGGCAGCAGUGGGGAAUAUUGCGCAAUGGGCGAAAGCCUGACGCAGCGACGCCGCGUGAGGGAUGAAGGUCUUCGGAUCGUAAACAUCUGUCAGCAGGGAAGAACGGUCACUGUGCUAAUCAGCAGUGAAUUGACGGUACCUGCAAAGGAAGCACCGGCUAACUCCGUGCCAGCAGCCGCGGUAAUACGGAGGGUGCGAGCGUUAAUCGGAAUUACUGGGCGUAAAGCGCUCGUAGGCGGUAUGUCAAGUCAAGGGUGAAAUCCCCGGGCUCAACGUUGGAACUGCCUUUGAAACUGGCAAACUGGAGUGUGUGAGAGGAUAGUGGAAUUCCAGGUGUAGGAGUGAAAUCCUUAGAUAUCUGGAGGAACAUCAGUGGCGAAGGCGACUAUCUGGCACAUAACUGACGCUGAGGAGCGAAAGCGUGGGUAGCAAACAGGAUUAGAUACCCCGGUAGUC
This 465-nucleotide ribosomal RNA is filed under the name uncultured bacterium. Its description in RNAcentral is "partial 16S ribosomal RNA". It matches the Rfam family "Bacterial small subunit ribosomal RNA", at positions 338 to 795 of the family's 1533-position model. The record is from RNAcentral.